CAGUCGCCGCGGGAAUACGAAGGGGGCUAGCGUUGUUCGGAUUUACUGGGCGUAAAGCGCACGUAGGCGGACUUUUAAGUCAGGGGUGAAAUCCCGGGGCUCAACCCCGGAACUGCCUUUGAUACUGGAAGUCUUGAGUAUGGUAGAGGUGAGUGGAAUUCCGAGUGUAGAGGUGAAAUUCGUAGAUAUUCGGAGGAACACCAGUGGCGAAGGUGGCUCACUGGAUCAUUACUGACGCUGAGGUGCGAAAGCGUGGGGAGCAAACAGGAUUAGAGACCCCGGUAGUCCCUGUCUCUUAUAC
Molecule: ribosomal RNA, 301 nt
Filed under: uncultured bacterium
Lineage: Bacteria
Description: partial 16S ribosomal RNA
Rfam family: Bacterial small subunit ribosomal RNA
Source: RNAcentral